AUGAUUUUGCUAGUUGUCGGCAUGUUUUUGCGUGUGUAUGUGUUAGUGUUGGCUAUGUGCAUCUUAGCUAUGCAGAGGUUGGGUGUGUGUUCAUCAUGUUUUUGUAUCAUCUUGAUACUUCAUUUUGAGCAAAUAAAAUCCACCUUUGGUCAGGAAAAAAAUAGUUCCUCUGUUGCAAACUUAUGCAACACUACCCCUUGCAAUAUGCACACGACUCUCUGUCUUUGCAAAAAAAAGAUUCUGCAACAUGAUCGUUGUUGCAAAAUGACAACAGAGAAAAAAGGUUCAAAAAAGAUUUGCAACAAGGCUCUUGUUGCAAAAGGCGGCGCAACAAAGCUUUUGUUGCAGAGAUCAAAAGAAAAGAAAAUGGUCUGA
RNAcentral lists this ribosomal RNA (375 nucleotides) under Triticum aestivum (bread wheat). RNAcentral describes it as "partial small subunit ribosomal RNA". The record is from RNAcentral. Lineage: Eukaryota; Viridiplantae; Streptophyta; Magnoliopsida; Poales; Poaceae.